CAGAAUUAUUGUUUCGCUUCCUGGAUUGCCACUAGAGAUAGCAAUCUGUGUUCUAGCAAAUCUGACUUAGGGCAGACCGGCUACCUGGGUUGUUUAUUGAUAAGGGCAGUCUCUCUUUGCAUAGGCUUGGUGGUUCAUAAGGAUGUGUGGACCUCGUGCAGUAAAUUCCAUGAAGGCCCCACAGAAAGGAACACAUUUCUUUAAAAUAUCGGAAAAUAAUGUCAUGCUUCAUGGGACUCAGAUGUGUUUUGUAACCAGCCAUUUGCUUGGACUUCUGGGCCCCCAACGGCCAGAUACUUCCAAGUCGGUGUGCCCUUCUCUCUUGAGUAAGAGAGUCCAACAAGCCAGGCCACUAGGUGAGGUCUUUAGAGUGGCACAUCAUUUUCGAGGUUGCUAUUCAAUUAAUCAUUUCUGUCAUAACUACAAUAUCCCUUUGGAUUGUGUGCUUCUGGAAAACCAUCACAGCUGGAGGAGUGGCCCUAACUCCCUGCUUAUCCUGCAAACAGAUCAAAUGGCCUGGGG
This is a long non-coding RNA of Leopardus geoffroyi (Geoffroy's cat), 522 nucleotides long. RefSeq lists it as uncharacterized. The transcript has 3 exons. NCBI's taxonomy places the organism in Eukaryota, Metazoa, Chordata, Mammalia, Carnivora, Felidae. The record is from RefSeq and is a predicted model, not a curated record.